RNAcentral lists this ribosomal RNA (467 nucleotides) under uncultured bacterium. RNAcentral's name for it is "partial 16S ribosomal RNA". It matches the Rfam family "Bacterial small subunit ribosomal RNA", at positions 28 to 506 of the family's 1533-position model. The record is from RNAcentral.
GACGAACGCUGGCGGCGUGCUUAACACAUGCAAGUCGAACGGAAAGGCCCUGCUUUUGUGGGGUGCUCGAGUGGCGAACGGGUGAGUAACACGUGAGUAACCUGCCCUUGACUUUGGGAUAACUUCAGGAAACUGGGGCUAAUACCGGAUAGGAGCUCCUGCUGCAUGGUGGGGGUUGGAAAGUUUCGGCGGUUGGGGAUGGACUCGCGGCUUAUCAGCUUGUUGGUGGGGUAGUGGCUUACCAAGGCUUUGACGGGUAGCCGGCCUGAGAGGGUGACCGGCAACAUGGGGACUGAGAAACGGCCCAAACUCUUACGGGAGGCAGCAGUGGGAAAUAUUGCACAAGGGGCGGAGGCCGGAUGCAGCAACGCCGCGUGCGGGAGGACGGCCUUCGGGUUGUAAACCGCUUUCGCCUGUGACGAAGCGUGAGUGACGGUAAGGGGAAAGGAAGCACCGGCUAACUACGU